GGCGGACGGGUGAGUAACGCGUGGAUAACCUGCCUCAUACAGGGGGAUAACAGUUAGAAAUGACUGCUAAUACCGCAUAAGCGCACAGGACCGCAUGGUCCGGUGUGAAAAACUCCGGUGGUAUGGGAUGGAUCCGCGUCUGAUUAGCUGGUUGGUGAGGUAACGGCCCACCAAGGCGACGAUCAGUAGCCGGCCUGAGAGGGUGAACGGCCACAUUGGGACUGAGACACGGCCCAAACUCCUACGGGAGGCAGCAGUGGGGAAUAUUGCACAAUGGGGGAAACCCUGAUGCAGCGACGCCGCGUGAGUGAGGAAGUAUUUCGGUAUGUAAAGCUCUAUCAGCAGGGAAGAAAAUGACGGUACCUGACUAAGAAGCCCCGGCUAACUACGUGCCAGCAGCCGCGGUAAUACGUAGGGGGCAAGCGUUAUCCGGAUUUACUGGGUGUAAAGGGAGCGUAGACGGCUAGUCAAGUCAGAAGUGAAAGCCCAGGGCUCAACCUUGGGACUGCUUUUGAAACUGAGUAGCUAGAGUGCAGGAGAGGUAGCGGAAUUCCUA
Molecule: ribosomal RNA, 556 nt
Filed under: uncultured bacterium
Lineage: Bacteria
Description: bacterial SSU rRNA
Rfam family: Bacterial small subunit ribosomal RNA
Source: RNAcentral